RNAcentral lists this ribosomal RNA (301 nucleotides) under uncultured bacterium. Its description in RNAcentral is "partial 16S ribosomal RNA". It matches the Rfam family "Bacterial small subunit ribosomal RNA", at positions 509 to 807 of the family's 1533-position model. The record is from RNAcentral.
CAGUCGCCGCGGUAAUACGAAGGGGGCUAGCGUUGUUCGGAUUUACUGGGCGUAAAGCGCACGUAGGCGGACUUUUAAGUCAGGGGUGAAAUCCCGGGGCUCAACCCCGGAACUGCCUUUGAUACUGGAAGUCUUGAGUAUGGUAGAGGUGAGUGGAAUUCCGAGUGUAGAGGUGAAAUUUGUAGAUAUUCGGAGGAACACCAGUGGCGAAGGCGGCUCACUGGACCAUUACUGACGCUGAGGUGCGAAAGCGUGGGGAGCAAACAGGAUUAGAUACCCCAGUAGUCCCUGUCUCUUAUAC